Molecule: ribosomal RNA, 731 nt
Filed under: uncultured archaeon
Lineage: Archaea
Description: bacterial SSU rRNA
Rfam family: Archaeal small subunit ribosomal RNA
Source: RNAcentral
GGAUAACCUACCCUUAGGACCGGGAUAACCCUGGGAAACUGGGGAUAAUACUGGAUAGGCAAUUUUUCCUGUAAUGGUUUUUUGUUUAAAUGUUUUUUCGCCUAAGGAUGGGUCUGCGGCCGAUUAGGUAGUUGGUUAGGUAAUGGCUUACCAAGCCGUUGAUCGGUACGGGUUGUGAGAGCAAGAGCCCGGAGAUGGAACCUGAGACAAGGUUCCAGGCCCUACGGGGUGCAGCAGGCGCGAAACCUCCGCAAUGUGAGAAAUCGCGACGGGGGGAUCCCAAGUGCCAUUCUUAACGGGAUGGCUUUUCAUUAGUGUAAAGAGCUUUUGGAAUAAGAGCUGGGCAAGACCGGUGCCAGCCGCCGCGGUAACACCGGCAGCUCUAGUGGUAGCAAUUUUUAUUGGGCCUAAAGCGUCCGUAGCCGGUUUAAUAAGUCUCUGGUGAAAUCCUGCAGCUUAACUGUGGGAAUUGCUGGAGAUACUAUUAGACUUGAGACCGGGAGAGGUUAGAGGUACUCCCAGGGUAGAGGUGAAAUUCUGUAAUCCUGGGAGGACCGCCUGUUGCGAAGGCGUCUAACUGGAACGGUUCUGACGGUGAGGGACGAAAGUUAGGGGCGCGAACCGGAUUAGAUACCCGGGUAGUCCUAACUGUAAACGAUGCGGACUUGGUGUUGGGGUGGCUUUGAGCUGCUUCAGUGCCGAAAGGGAAGCUGUUAAGUCCGCCGCCUGGG